This 253-nucleotide ribosomal RNA is filed under the name uncultured bacterium. Its description in RNAcentral is "partial 16S ribosomal RNA". It matches the Rfam family "Bacterial small subunit ribosomal RNA", at positions 524 to 776 of the family's 1533-position model. The record is from RNAcentral.
UACGUAGGGCGCAAGCGUUAUCCGGAAUUAUUGGGCGUAAAGAGCUCGUAGGCGGUUUGUCGCGUCUGCCGUGAAAGUCCGGGGCUCAACUCCGGAUCUGCGGUGGGUACGGGCAGACUAGAGUGAUGUAGGGGAGACUGGAAUUCCUGGUGUAGCGGUGAAAUGCGCAGAUAUCAGGAGGAACACCGGUGGCGAAGGCGGGUCUCAGGGCAGUAACUGACGCUGAGGAGCGAAAGCGUGGGGAGCGAACAGG